CAAAACCAGUUUUUGCCACAAAAUAAAAAGAACAGAAAAUAGGCAAAAAAAAAAAAAAAAAAAAGAGCUCAGUUCCCACUUCUGCUUUGUUCUUUUUGCAACCGAGCUCAGAUUCACGCUCAGAAAAAUUUGUGACUUCGUGGUGCUUUGGCGUCUCCAAUCUGAGAAAAAUUUCAUGUGCUAAUUUUGUCUGAGACUUGGAAUUGGUCUUUGAUCUCACAAAAACUUCAACAUCGUGGUCUGAAGCUUGGGUCUUCGUGGUGCUCUAGUGUUUUAUGGUGUCGUCUUCUUCUCAAGGUCGUGUUUGGCUUCGUGGUGUCGUCUUCUACUCAAGCUGGUCCUUGGCAUCGAGAUUGUCAAUCCAAAUCAAAUGGAUCUGUGCUGGUAAUUUUGUGGGUCUCUAGGAUCUUCGUGUUCAAGUAUGUAUAGGUUGGACUCUAGAGUGCAAAAAGCUUCUCUCUUUCCUUGGAUCACAUCCAUUUCUAUAGAGAAACGAAAGAGACAUGGAGUUCGACAAAACUGAUCAUCACGAGUAUCUUUGAUUUGAAAUUCAAUUUUAGUCACCACUAUUCAAAGUGAAGUGAAAUUACAAACUUGCUUCCACUCUACCUGUACCAUCUGACUCUGCUGAAGCUCUUCAUGUCCUCUCCUCCUCAAAGGGUAGUUCAUCAUGAAUUUUUUGUGUUCUUUGAAAAACUUCAAAUUUUAUGGCGUCCUCAUUCCAAAAAGUCCAGGCAAUUGCUCUUUAUGUUUUGUAACUGUUGUAAAAUUACUGGUCAUAUUUGAGAGUGAAAGGAGAGUUUUUGCAA
Molecule: long non-coding RNA, 809 nt
Organism: Carya illinoinensis
Lineage: Eukaryota; Viridiplantae; Streptophyta; Magnoliopsida; Fagales; Juglandaceae
Exons: 2
Source: RefSeq, a predicted model, not a curated record